This 398-nucleotide ribosomal RNA is filed under the name Synapturanus salseri group sp. ABGD cluster 5. Its description in RNAcentral is "partial large subunit ribosomal RNA". It matches the Rfam family "Bacterial large subunit ribosomal RNA", at positions 1835 to 2457 of the family's 2925-position model. Lineage: Eukaryota; Metazoa; Chordata; Amphibia; Anura; Microhylidae. The record is from RNAcentral.
CCCGUCUCCCAUGAGAGGUCCAGCCUGCCCAGUGGAUUUACUAAACGGCCGCGGUACCCUAACCGUGCUAAGGUAGCGCAAUCACUUGUCCCCUAAAUAGGGACUCGUAUGAACGGCACCACGAGGGUUGUUCUGUCUCCCCCCUUUAAUCAGUGAAACUGACCCCCCCGUGAAGAGGCGGGGAUAAGCAUAUAAGACGAGAAGACCCCAUGGAGCUUUAAAUUCACGCCACCUAUCCUCCAAACACCCUUAAAACCGGGUAGCCCUGGCCACUGUUUUAGGUUGGGGCGACCACGGAGUAAAACUCAACCUCCGAGACGAAUAUUUAAUUCAAGAGCAACAACUCAAAAAAUCAAAACUGACGUAAUUGACCCAAAAAAAUCAUUUGAUCAACGAAC